UCUCAUCAACACUCACCAUGAAGAUCCCACUCUCUUUAUUCCUGCUACUAAUCAGCCUCAUCACAGGUGUGAAAGGUCAAAGUCUUGAGUCUUUACAAACGACAGUGCAGAAGAAACCUGGAGAAACUCUGAGUCUCUCCUGCAGAGGAUCUGGAGUUAGUUUUGGAGACCACAACAUGCACUGGAUCAGACGACAGGCGAACAAACCACUGGUGUGGAUGGGACGUGUUUGGUAUAAUGCAAAUGGUCAUGACUAUGCAAAAUCUUUUGAAGGGAGAACAGAAAUCACCAGAGAUAAUUCCAACAGCAUGGUGUAUCUGAAACUCUCUGGUGUGACAGCAGAGGACACAGCUGUGUAUUACUGCGCACGGGAAGCACAGUAGCAGAAAUA
Non-coding RNA from Pangasianodon hypophthalmus (striped catfish), 391 nucleotides. The record is from the annotation of a RefSeq genome assembly. NCBI's taxonomy places the organism in Eukaryota, Metazoa, Chordata, Actinopteri, Siluriformes, Pangasiidae.